AUGGACAUCCCCAAGCAGCCCACCUAUCCCAGCACCAACCUGUCACAUGUCCUUUGGCCGCUGCCCUUCAUGUGCCGAUACAACGCCCAGUGUAUGUGGGUGAUGCCACAUAUCUCAGCAAACAAAGAGAGAUGCUUUGGUAAAGAUACCAAAAAACAAAGAUAUCUUCAUUCCAAAUGCUCAUCCCUAACUCCUGUACAGCAGGACAGCACAUCACGGAGGAAGCCUGCAGAACGCACAGUUCCUGGCUUCUACCACGGUGCAGUGCUGUCUGGUGACUGCAGUCCGUAGGCACAAAGGAGCAUCCAGCAUCCUUAUCAGUGAUGGCUUCAGAGUUCAGGGAGGAGCUUCACCUGGAUUGUUUUCUCAGAGCCUCGCGUUCCUGAGAACAGCAGCAAGCAGUGUCGUUCACACAGAAGAGCUGAUGUUCUCCCCUGCCAUAGGGAUCACUGAGGGAUCUCACUCAGGUGUGUGCAGGAGUUGGAAGGAAUCGCAGUGAUUUGUGCUUGUGAGGACCUGGCUGUGUAUGAGAGAAGCAGUAAAAAGUCCUACAGACUGACAUACCAUGAUAAAAAUCCACUUGCUGAUGCAUUUCUCCGCAGCUGGGAUCCACCAGAGAAGCUGUGUUCAGUCAUUUUCCAAGGCAUGGCAGAAGGAGUCCAGGCUGACUGAAUGAAGCUCCACUCGCAAUUCAAAAAUACUUUUAUAGAACUGUGAUUAGCACUGCUAAUCUCGCCUCGGUGAGCCAAAGACAAUAACAGUGAGGUUACCGAACACCUCACCUAUUAUGUAAUUCUGCUCCUCAGAAACUCGCUGGUGUGAGUGCUUUUGAAACCCAUUAGUAAAACUGAAUUUGCCAAAUGAGCCUUCUCUGGGGGGAACAAAGUCAAACGUGUGCCAGCAUGGAGCCAGCGCCUGCCGGAGGCUGAGCCUUCACAAAUCCCAUGGCUACCAGUGAGAUUUGAAGACGUAAAGUCCUUGAUCCGGCUGUAAAAUGAACUGAUGGCUGUGAAGCUGCCGUUCCCUUUGAUAACAGCACUGUGUGCUUAUUCCUAACAGGCCCUGGUGCUUCAGGCUGGCACCGACCCAUGACAGCGGGCUGCCUAGUUCCACCUGCACACCGUGGGACAGCCCUGAUGUCCUCCUGCAGCAUCCACCGACCACAAGGGGACUGGGUGCUCUGGUGGGACCCAGAGCGCGGGGCUCUCCUCUCCUGUCUAGGUCAGCCAGCCUGUGUUAAGCCUUUCUUCUGGUGAUUCUUCCUCACAAACAAAGCUGCAGAAAGAGGGAAAAUACAGCUGAGCUUCCACAAAAAGCCACGAUGAGUUUUCAGCAGAGGAUGGGCAGAGCGGAAAUUUCCACGAGGAUACUGCUGCAAUUGGAAAUAGCUCUUUGAGAACAAUUAUCUGUGGAAGUUUCAAAUAAGAAAAAGGAAGAAUUUCCCUUAAUUGUUAAGAAAAAUAUAUAUCAGUAUAAAACACAUGGAGAAAAUAAACAAACGGUGAAGACGCUGUUGCUAGUAGGCUGGCUUUGUAAGUAUUGCUGGAACCUCGCAGAACAAGAGUUUCUUUUAUUCUUUUUAUCCCAGCUCCCCACUUGCACAGUUCUUGUGUGAACAUGCAGCAGUUUCCAAGGCUGUGAAAUUAUCAGAGCUGGACCAAUGCCAGUACAAACCAAUUUAUUGGGGUCCAGCAAUUAACUAAAACCUAGAAAGCCUGAUUAAUUGUGGCACUGCUCAGCAGGGAACAUUUAGGGGGAAAAAAAAAAAAAAAUCAGGACUAAACUCCAUGCAGUGUCUCUGUUCCAUAUCCCAACUUACACUAUAUGUAAAGAAAAGUUUCCUCUCUCUAAGUACACUUAUUUUGCACUGUGCACCAAGAAUAACUACAAUGCCAUUUGAAAUAAUGUGUUUGUGGCUCUCUAGAUUAUCAUUUCAUAGUAGCUUUUGUCCACUUAUAAUUUUCUGGUGUAGGAUUCAUAUCUUAUUCUAACCCACACAAUAGGAUGUAUUAUUUUAAAACAUUGCUUUGUUAAGCUUCUUUCUGGAGAGACGUGGGAGCAUCCAGCACUGCUCCGUUUCUUUAUUUUCCUCCAACUGUUGACAUGUGUGAGAAAAAUGAGGGUUUGGUGGUUGUUUGGAAUUGUUUAAGAUACAAACCCAAGGAAACAGAAUGGUUGAGCUGAGAACCGAUUUAC
This 2196-nucleotide long non-coding RNA is filed under the name Meleagris gallopavo (turkey). Its description in RNAcentral is "lncRNA (ENSMGAG00000020072.1)". The record is from RNAcentral. Lineage: Eukaryota; Metazoa; Chordata; Aves; Galliformes; Phasianidae.